AUGAGGCUGUUGCUAGGCUCCUUGUUACUUGGUUACAUCCAGCUUCUCAGGACCCAUCCAGCUGCAUCCCACGGGAUCUGGGCUGUAUUUUCUUCCCCAAGAAUGAAGGCAGAGCAUAGAAACAAGAAGCCAGGAGGAGAAGGGGGGAUGCAAGGGAGGUGCCUGGCUGACAAACUGCCCCUUGAGAAGGUGAGCUGGCACCUUCCUGCUGCUGCCUGAGCGUGCCAGCAGUGCUUGGUGCUUCCAGGGUGCUUUAUCUCUGCUGAGCACAGCAAUGGGAAUGGGCCCAAUUAUCCUGCUUUACAGCAGUG
Molecule: long non-coding RNA, 311 nt
Filed under: Melopsittacus undulatus (budgerigar)
Lineage: Eukaryota; Metazoa; Chordata; Aves; Psittaciformes; Psittaculidae
Description: lncRNA (ENSMUNG00000021839.1)
Source: RNAcentral